CAUGUACGAAAUGCCAAUAUUCCGUUUCAAUCAAAAUGAAAUUAAAAGAAUUCUGCGGAUUUCCGUCAUUUGUACAACACCGAUGAGUGCCAUAAGCCCCACUCCGGCGCCUUUCAACUGAUGAUGGGUAUGAAUUGGAAUCAAAACAUGCUGCCGCAUAGCUGCGAGCUGUGAACUGCGCGCUGCAUUGCCACUGGCUGGAUGCUACGCCGUUAUUGACGCUGAGCAAAGAAAUGAGCAAAUAAAGCCACGCAAACACACAAUCCAAUCAUGGCUGCAUUUAUUAUGAAUGAGCUCUGUGGCAAGCAGUCGAUCUGGGCUGCUCCGAAUACGAUGGAUAGAGUCGAAAGUGUACUUUUGUAUGUAUCUUGACUUGAGGUUGCGGAGGCUGAGGGGCAUGUUUUCGUUGUAAAGUGUAGGAAUAAGUCCAGUAUGGCGUUGGAAGCUAAAGAAGAUUGAGUUGAAGAGUGGCAUUGUUGUUGUUGUUUUACGCAGCAGCAGCAUUUGAUCAAUUCGCUAUCAUAGCCUGCUUCGUUGUUGUAGCAGUGCCGCGCCACCACUGCGCUUGUUGAAUGCCUACGAAUGCGAAAUAAUUGGACAUAAUGCGGUAAUCCUCAAGUAAUCUGUGGUUCUUCUAAAUGUCUGUAGCUAGUUCGCUGUCACUAGUUAACCGAAAUACCCACAUUUUCGAAGCUAUUUACGCCAACUUCCACGACGAUAAUGAUGAUGUUGGAAUAAAAUAGGAAUACUCUGAGCAGGAGCGCAGUAAUUUUUUUUCUUCUCGCACACAAACCCAACAACUUUGUAAGAUUUUCUUCUUAGUCGGAGCAAAUUUCGAAGGCUUAGUUCGCCAUGAGGGUUGCCCUCAGGCUUGACUUGAUUGUCUGGCCGACGAUAAGAGUACGUUGCGUGUGUCGGUCGAAAGUGUUGCUCGGCUGUCCACGCUGAUGGCCAAAUAGUUGCAAAUGAAUGAUGCAGAUUUAACACCCCGACACUUUGCUUAUUUGUACGGAUUUCGAUUCCUCCGCCACAGUACAUAUUCAUACACGCUAUGUAUAUGUAUAUAGUUGUGUAUAUUGGUAUAAAUGAUUCUGUGUUGCGUUGAGCCUGUGGCGGAUAAGAGAUGGCUGAUAAAUAUUUUGGGAGUUUGUUUAGGAUUUAACAGCUAAUGGUAGCAAAUGGAGCAAAUUACGGCAACUGGUCGAGCAGAAAGUAAGUGCCAAUUGGGAAAUAUUAAGAAAAAUUAGUCUAUGUGAGCUUGUAUGUGUGUGCGUGUGCGUGCAAAUGUGGGCUGUCAAGUAAUGAACUUGUGCGAGACGUCCUAAGUUGUUGUUGAUAGUUACGUAACUGAUGGUCACAUUACGAAAAGCCUGAUAAGUAGGCUUAAAUAAAGAAAGCUAUAACCUUUUUUCAAACCAUUACAUUUUGAGCUAAAAGUUAAAUGGAAAUGAAUACAAAUUUAAGUAUAAAAGAAAUCAAUUGAGUUUUUCAUCUAAGUUUUGUAAUUGAUGAUAUUUGGGAAAAUAAAUAAAAUCAGUGCUCAUGUGAAAUAUAAGUUCUUAGCAUUCAGUACCGACUGAUUUUAUAUACAUAUAGUCACUGAGCUAUU
This is a non-coding RNA of Bactrocera oleae (olive fruit fly), 1609 nucleotides long. The record is from RefSeq and is a predicted model, not a curated record. Lineage: Eukaryota; Metazoa; Arthropoda; Insecta; Diptera; Tephritidae.